This is a long non-coding RNA of Ziziphus jujuba (common jujube), 2192 nucleotides long. RefSeq lists it as uncharacterized. NCBI's taxonomy places the organism in Eukaryota, Viridiplantae, Streptophyta, Magnoliopsida, Rosales, Rhamnaceae. The record is from RefSeq and is a predicted model, not a curated record. The transcript is spliced from 3 exons.
AAGAGUAGUGUAGACUUUGAUGAGGAAGUUGAGUGGGAACAAGAAUUUGAAGAUGAGGUGCAUCUACUUGAGAAUGGUAACAUUGAUUUAAAAGCAAGUGGUCAAGAAAGUGAUGACACCUUAUCUAGUUAUGAAUCUGUUGAUAAUGGUAGCCUAGGCAGUGAUGCAGAUGAAGAGACACCCAUUUCUAGGAUGGCUAGAUAUAUGAUAGGGAGGGAGGUUAUAGAAUCUACAAGGAAGAUAGAGUUUCAAGAAAGUCAAAUUUUUGAAGAUGUUUAUCAUUUUAGGAAAGUAUUGAAAGAUUAUGUGAUACAAGAAUGAUUUACAUUAGUUAGAGAGAAAAAUGAAAAGACAAGAGUAAGUGCUAAAUGUGGUACCUAUAAUUGUCCUUGGAGAAUUUAUGUCUCUCAAUUGCCAGAUGGUGUGACAUUUAAAGUCAAUAUAUGUAAAGAACAACAUACUUGCAUAAGGAAAACAAAAAAUGCUGAGGUAAUUUCUAAUUGGAUUGCAAGUAAACUUGAAUCAUUGAUUCAAUCAAAUCCUGAUGUUAAAAUAGGAGUAUUAGAGAAUGAGUUAAGAACAACCUAUGGGGUUAAAUGUGAUAAGUAGAAAAUAUACAAGGCAAAGAAUAAGGCUCUUGAUAGGAUGGGAGGGGAUUAUGCUGUUGAUAAAGGCUGCUAGACCAACCAUCAUUAACAAUCUACAAUUUCGAAGGUUUUGCCUCAGUUUUCUUGCACAAAAGUAAGGAUUUUUGAUUGGAUGUAGGCCCUUUAUUGGCCUUGACGGAUGCCAUUUAAAAGGACCUUUCGGUGGAAUUUUAUUAUCUGCUGUGGCAUUAGAUGCAAAUAGUGGGAUAUUUCCAAUUGCAAUAUGUAUAUGUUAGGGGGAAAGCACAGAGACAUGGGGUUGGUUUUUAAAUUUGUUGAAUGAAUAUAUUGGGGAAGCUGAAACUAGGAUUAUUUCAUUUAUGUUUGAUAGACAAAAAGGAGUAUUAGCAAGUUUGCACAAAAUUUUCCCUCAACAUAAAACUAGAUUUUGUGCAAGGCAUAUUUAUGUCAAUUUUGGAGGAAAAUUUACAAGUUUGAAGCUUAUGGGUUUGUUUUGGGCAGCAGCAAGGGCAACAAAUGUUCAAGAUUUUAAAAGGAAUAUGGAUGAGAUCAAGGUUGUUAAGGAGGAUGCAUAUAAAUGGUUAAUGGAAAUCCCUUUUUGCCACUGGUCUAGGCAUGAUUUUGAUGAAAAUGUUAAAAAAUACCAUAUCACAAAUACUAUGACUGAGAAUUUCAAUAGUUGGCUUGGUGAGAGUAGACAAAAGUCAAUAGUUACACUUAUUGAAGAUAUAAGGAGGAAAGUUAUGAAAAGGUUGCAGAAAAGGCAUGAAAAGGCAAUGAGUUAGCCAACCACUAUUCCUCCAAAUAUUCAAUAAAGGCUUGUGAAGACUCAAAAGGAAGGGAGGUAUAUUAGACUCAUAUGGACUAGGGGUGAUGAAUAUGAAGUUAUGGAUGAAGCAACUCAAACUAGAGUUUAUGUAGUUCAUUUGCAGCAAAAAACAUGUCAAUGUAGGGAAUGGCAAAUUAGUGGAGUCCCAUGCAAGCAUGUUGUGGCAUGCAUUACCUAUAAAAGAUUGGAUUUUGAGUAAUGUAUUGAUCUCAUGUUAACUAAAAAAGCUUAUAUUGAAACAUACCAAGUCAAUGAUACAUCCAAUCCCCGAUGAAUCAAUGUAACCAGAGGUGGAUUGUGAUGAGUUGCUGCCUCCAAUUAGAAGAAGAAUGCCAGUAAAACCAAAAAUUACUAGGAAAAGAGCAGCAGAUGAGGGGAAGAAAAAGAAAAGGUCAUUCACUCUCAAAUGUGGACUUUGCAAUGAAUUUGGUCACAACAAAAGAUCUUGUAAGGUGGCUAGCAAUCAAUUGAAGUAGGAAGCAAUUUGGUAUGGGCCUUCCAUUUCUCAACCAGCAUGUUCACGAAUAAGUCAAACUAACCAAGAACAAGGUCAAUCAUGUGGGAGGAAAUUCAUUUCUUAUGCUUUUCUAUUUUUAUGGCUGUUAUUGAAGUUUUUUUUAUGGCUAUUAGUGAAAUCUUUUGUAUGAAGAUCUAUUCCUUUUGUAAUUUUUGAUCACAAGUAUGGAGACUAUUCUUUAAUCCAACUAUGAUGGCUAUAGUUGUGUUGAAAUACAUGGAAUGAUCUCUUUUUAUUA